GGGGAUUUAGCUCAGUGGCAUAAGCACCUGCCUUGCAAGCAGGAGGUUGCGAGUUCGAUCCUUGGUACCG
RNAcentral lists this transfer RNA (70 nucleotides) under Cavia porcellus (domestic guinea pig). It matches the Rfam family "tRNA". From Rfam's summary of the family: Transfer RNA (tRNA) molecules are approximately 80 nucleotides in length. Their secondary structure includes four short double-helical elements and three loops (D, anti-codon, and T loops). Lineage: Eukaryota; Metazoa; Chordata; Mammalia; Rodentia; Caviidae. The record is from Rfam by way of RNAcentral.